Molecule: microRNA precursor, 96 nt
Filed under: Nicotiana sylvestris (wood tobacco)
Lineage: Eukaryota; Viridiplantae; Streptophyta; Magnoliopsida; Solanales; Solanaceae
Description: MIR6152 microRNA precursor family
Rfam family: MIR6152 microRNA precursor family
Source: Rfam by way of RNAcentral
UGGACAAAUUAUUGUAUUCGACUGUAUUUACGGCAUGAAAUAGGGGAUUACACUGUUUUUAAACGGAAAGUGAAUCAAUUAACAUAAUAGACUCCU